AACGAACGCUGGCGGCAUGCCUAACACAUGCAAGUCGAACGAGACCUUCGGGUCUAGUGGCGCACGGGUGCGUAACGCGUGAGAACCUGCCCUUAGGUUCGGAAUAACUCCCCGAAAGGGGUGCUAAUACCGGAUAAUGUCUUCGGACCAAAGAUUUAUCGCCUUUGGAUGGGCCCGCGUUGGAUUAGCUAGUUGGUAGGGUAAAAGCCUACCAAGGCGACGAUCCAUAGCUGGUCUGAGAGGAUGAUCAGCCACACUGGGACUGAGACACGGCCCAGACUCCUACGGGAGGCAGCAGUGGGGAAUAUUGGACAAUGGGCGAAAGCCUGAUCCAGCAAUGCCGCGUGAGUGAUGAAGGCCUUAGGGUUGUAAAGCUCUUUUACCCGGGAUGAUAAUGACAGUACCGGGAGAAUAAGCUCCGGCUAGCUCCGUG
Molecule: ribosomal RNA, 433 nt
Filed under: uncultured bacterium
Lineage: Bacteria
Description: partial 16S ribosomal RNA
Rfam family: Bacterial small subunit ribosomal RNA
Source: RNAcentral